UUAGUUGUAGUUAUUAAAUUGGAAUUAGUAUUAGUUAUGUUCUUGAAAAUUAAAAAUUUUGGCGGUAUUUUAGUCUCUUCAGAGGAACCUGUUCUAUAAAUGAUAUUCCACGAUUAAUUAAACUUAUUUUAUUAAUUUGUAUAACGUCGUAGAAAAAUAUUUUAAAAGAAUUUUAAUAUUUAAUUUAUAUAAAAAUAUAAAAAAUCAGAUCAUGUUGCAGUUUAUAAGUAAGUAGAAAUGGGUUACAAUAUAAUAAUAUAAACGGAUUAAUUUAUUUAAAAUUAUUAAGAAGGUGGAUUUGAAAGUAAUUAAUUAUAUAUUUUUUUAAUGAUUUAAGCUCUAAAAUAUGU
RNAcentral lists this ribosomal RNA (350 nucleotides) under Trycherus nitidus. Its description in RNAcentral is "partial 12S ribosomal RNA". The record is from RNAcentral. Lineage: Eukaryota; Metazoa; Arthropoda; Insecta; Coleoptera; Endomychidae.